GCAAUAGGAGUAAAAUGUUUCUCUUAUAGGCUUCUGCUUUACACAUUGCAUGCUUGCCUUAAGCGAUUCAAAACCUAAAUAGACCUUAACUCACAAAAGAUCUCUUAGAAACCCUGCUGGAGACAAAUCCUGGGCUCGGUGCACAUUUGGUGUGAUCAGCUGUGGCUCUCAGUAUUCUAACACUCAUCAUGUGCCUCACUGGUGUCAGGAGAGAUUUGGGCUGUGUACUAAUGGCUGUGGAGCUUGAUGGGCAUGUUGGUGGGAGUUGACUGAACGGAUUUAGCAGGUGAUGAAGUCAGCUUCCUCUAGACUCACCUUAGUUGCUUCCCCUCCUUGAUGAACCUUUUCCUUUAAGUCACCCUGGGAAGCAGCACUACUGGGAAGCAGCUCCUCCUGCAAGAGAUGAGCAUUCAUGUCAUGACACUGCUGAGGAUUCACAGUACAUCUACACAGGAAACAGUCCUGAUGGCUUCAGGAACACAGAAACCAAAACAAGACCUGCCAGCCUCAAACAACACCCUCUUUCUUCACAUUAGAAAUGGAAACACGUCCUCUGCAGGAAUUUUCCACUUAAUAGCUCCUGCUUUCCUACCGGGGGCCUCAGUGCACCACCACUGCAAUGCUGUAUUUCUUUCCACUGCAGUUUGACAUUUUGCAGCCAGAACAACGAACGGCAUUCACUCCAUCCUGAUUUUUGAAAAACAUAUCUCUAUAGGCCCACUGAACGCACCCAGUGCAGCAAUCACCAGGGGGAAAUGGCAAAGGUAUUUAAACAUCAUUACAUGUCACUGAGGAUAUGACAUUGUCUGGUAAUAAUGCUCUUUUAUGCAGUCGUUUUUUCUUAGUCCCCCAUUCCUCCCCCCUCCAACCCUUUAUACACACAGGCAGACACCAAAGCCUCUGCCCUGCUCUCCUGUUACCAGCCACUCUCAUGUUCUACACUUGAUUGCAAUUGUUUGCCGUUGUGAAUUAUUUCCUUUGCAUGGUAUUUGCAAACUGUGUAUCAGGUCCUGACACCGUGAGGAGCAGAAAUGCAGAUUGCAGAUAAUCUGAGCAGUAAACAAGAAGCCUGCUUUAAAAUGCGCUGAGUGACCUGUCUGAAAGCAGCAAUAUUUGCAGACUGUUUACUGCUGAGAUGCAGGGAUGUCGCUGAAAUGCAGCAGCCUGAAGACUGGAGCAAAAUGGGAUCUCAGACACUCGGUCAAGCACAACGUGUAAUUUUUUUAUUUGUUGCUUACACUGUGCUUUUUCUAAAUUUGGAGCAGUAUUAUAAAUUAUUAAAAGCUAAUUUCCAAAAAUCCCUUUGCUGUGUUUAUGAAAUAUU
Molecule: long non-coding RNA, 1324 nt
Filed under: Manacus vitellinus (golden-collared manakin)
Lineage: Eukaryota; Metazoa; Chordata; Aves; Passeriformes; Pipridae
Description: lncRNA (ENSMVIG00005012455.1)
Source: RNAcentral